This 253-nucleotide ribosomal RNA is filed under the name uncultured bacterium. RNAcentral describes it as "partial 16S ribosomal RNA". It matches the Rfam family "Bacterial small subunit ribosomal RNA", at positions 524 to 776 of the family's 1533-position model. The record is from RNAcentral.
UACGGGGGGGGUAAGCGUUGUUCGGAAUUACUGGGCGGAAAGGGCUCGUAGGCGGCCAACUAAGUCAGACGUGAAAUCCCUCAGCUUAACUGGGGAACUGCGUCUGAUACUGGAUGGCUUGGAUUCGGGAGAGGAAUGCGGAAUUCCAGGUGUAGCGGUGAAAUGCGUAGAUAUCUGGAGGAACACCGGUGGCGAAGGCGGCAUUCUGGACCGAUAUUGACGCUGAGGAGCGAAAGCCAGGGGAGCAAACGGG